RNAcentral lists this ribosomal RNA (253 nucleotides) under uncultured bacterium. Its description in RNAcentral is "partial 16S ribosomal RNA". It matches the Rfam family "Bacterial small subunit ribosomal RNA", at positions 524 to 776 of the family's 1533-position model. The record is from RNAcentral.
UACGUAGGUGGCAAGCGUUGUCCGGAUUUACUGGGCGUAAAGAGCGCGCAGGCGGUCGGAUCAGUCGAAUGUGAAAGCCCCCGGCUCAACUGGGGAGGGUCAUUCGAUACUGUCCGACUCGAAGGCAGGAGAGGGAAGUGGAAUUCCCGGUGUAGUGGUGAAAUGCGUAGAUAUCGGGAGGAACACCAGUGGCGAAGGCGACUUCCUGGCCUGUUCUUGACGCUGAGGCGCGAAAGCUAGGGUAGCAAACGGG